UAAUAACAUUGUUAGGUGAGAUUACUGUACAAGACAUACGCUACUGCCCAGAAAUGUCGAGAGACGCCAAUGGGUGAGCAGGUACUACCGGAUUAAGGUUUUACUUAAUGUAGCUGACAACAUUUAUAGAAAUAUGAAUGCUUAUGAUCUAAGCUUUACAGAGUCAAAGCUCAACGAGUGAAGAUGUGC
This 189-nucleotide small RNA is filed under the name Clostridium autoethanogenum. Its description in RNAcentral is "Magnesium sequence". It matches the Rfam family "M-box riboswitch aptamer (ykoK leader)". From Rfam's summary of the family: M-box riboswitch, also know as ykoK leader is described as a metaloregulatory RNA that sense divalent metals and function as a genetic control element of genes related to divalent metal transport in bacteria. It was first reported upstream of the B.subtilis ykoK gene and genes with related functions in other bacteria. Phylogenetic analysis of the distribution of M-box RNAs across bacterial genomes revealed that M-box riboswitches are most often employed for the regulation of Mg2+ transporter genes The record is from RNAcentral. Lineage: Bacteria; Bacillati; Bacillota; Clostridia; Eubacteriales; Clostridiaceae.